RNAcentral lists this long non-coding RNA (360 nucleotides) under Androctonus crassicauda. The record is from RNAcentral. Lineage: Eukaryota; Metazoa; Arthropoda; Arachnida; Scorpiones; Buthidae.
UACUUGUGGUUUUACAUUGUAAUUUUUGCGGAACUCAAGGCGUCUUGGGUUAUAUGAAGCUUAAAAUCUGCAUCGGUGUGGCCCAUCCAAAGGAAAACGCUAGUUCCAUCCCUGUUGUUUAUGAAAACGACACCAUCAUCUUUAAAGGCGCGAAAAAAGGAAAACAGAUUUUCCUGCUCUUAGUAGAAAAUCACUAUUAUUUAAUAAGGUCUAUGGCUGCAUUUCUACGUACAAAAAAUUCUGUCAAAACUGUUUGAAGGAAUAUAACUAUAAAAAUCAUAACUGUGUGCACACCUAUAGAUACUGUGACUGACUCCGGAUCUGAACUGAAGAAAGAAAAGUGUUGUUAUCAGAAAAAAU